This 497-nucleotide ribosomal RNA is filed under the name uncultured bacterium. Its description in RNAcentral is "partial 16S ribosomal RNA". It matches the Rfam family "Bacterial small subunit ribosomal RNA", at positions 28 to 507 of the family's 1533-position model. The record is from RNAcentral.
GAUGAACGCUGGCGGCGUGCCUAAUACAUGCAAGUCGAGCGAACAGACGAGGAGCUUGCUCCUUUGACGUUAGCGGCGGACGGGUGAGUAACACGUGGAUAACCUACCUAUAAGACUGGGAUAACUUCGGGAAACCGGAGCUAAUACCGGAUAAUAUUUUGAACCGCAUGGUUCGAUAGUGAAAGACGGCUUUGCUGUCACUUAUAGAUGGACCUGCGCCGCAUUAGCUAGUUGGUAAGGUAACGGCUUACCAAGGCAACGAUACGUAGCCGACCUGAGAGGGUGAUCGGCCACACUGGAACUGAGACACGGUCCAGACUCCUACGGGAGGCAGCAGUAGGGAAUCUUCCGCAAUGGGCGAAAGCCUGACGGAGCAACGCCGCGUGAGUGAUGAAGGUCUUCGGAUCGUAAAACUCCGUUAUUAGGGAAGAACAAACGUGUAAGUAACUAUGCACGUCUUGACGGUACCUAAUCAGAAAGCCACGGCUAACUACGUG